This 26-nucleotide non-coding RNA is filed under the name Homo sapiens (human). Lineage: Eukaryota; Metazoa; Chordata; Mammalia; Primates; Hominidae. The record is from RNAcentral.
GUCCCAGACUGUAGUCCUGUGCCUGC